GAUGAACGCUGGCGGCGUGCCUAAUACAUGCAAGUCGAGCGAACGGACGAGAAGCUUGCUUCUCUGAUGUUAGCGGCGGACGGGUGAGUAACACGUGGAUAACCUACCUAUAAGACUGGGAUAACUUCGGGAAACCGGAGCUAAUACCGGAUGAUAUUUUGAACCGCAUGGUUCAAAAGUGAAAGACGGUCUUGCUGUCACUUAUAGAUGGAUCCGCGCUGCAUUAGCUAGUUGGUAAGGUAACGGCUUAUCAAGGCAACGAUGCAUAGCCGACCUGAGAGGGUGAUCGGCCACACUGGAACUGGAACACGGACCAGGCUCCUACGGGAGGCAGCAGUAGGGAAUCUUCCGCAAUGGGCGAAAGCCUGACGGAGCAACGCCGCGUGAGUGAUGAAGGUCUUCGGAUCGUAAAACUCUGUUAUUAGGGAAGAACAUAUGUGUAAGUAACUGUGCACAUCUUGACGGUACCUAAUCAGAAAGCCACGGCUAACUACGUG
Molecule: ribosomal RNA, 497 nt
Filed under: uncultured bacterium
Lineage: Bacteria
Description: partial 16S ribosomal RNA
Rfam family: Bacterial small subunit ribosomal RNA
Source: RNAcentral